GUUUUUAUACGACCGCAAAAAAAUUUUUGUGGUCGUAUAUUGGUAUGACGUUGGCGUCGUCGUCGUCGUCGUUGUCGUCCGGCGUCGUCGUCCGAAUACACAUUAGUUUUCGCACUCUAACUUUAGUUUAAGUGAAUGGAUCUCAUUGAAAUUUUACCAUAAGGUUCAAUACCACAAAAGGAAGGUGGGGAUUGAUUUUGGGGGUUAUGGUACUAACAGUUAAGGAAUUAGGGGCCAAAAGGGGCCAAAAAUAAGCAUUUUUGUAACUUCCAGACAUAACUUGUGUGUAAGUGUAUGGAUCUCUCUGACAUUGUACCACAAGGUUCCAUAUCACAAAGGGAAUGCUGGGAUUGAUUUUGGGGGUAAUUGUCUCCAAAUUUUAGGAAUUAGGGGCCAAAAAGGGGCAAAAAACAAGCAUUUUUCUAGUUUCAUGACAAUAACUUGUUUGUAAGUGUAUGGAUCUUUAUGAAAUUGUACUACAAGGUUCCAUAUCACAAAGGGAAUACUGGGAUUGAUUUUUGGGGUAAUUUCCACCAAAUAUUAGGAAUUAGGGGCCAAAAAGGGGCAAAAAACAAGCAUUUUUCUAGUUUCAUGACAAUAACUUGUUUGUAAGUGUAUGGAUCUUUAUGAAAUUGUACUACAAGGUUCCAUAUCACAAAGGGAAAGCUGGAAUUGAGUUUGGGGGUAAUUGCCCUAAACGUUUAGGAAUUUGGGGCCAAAAAGGGGCCAAAAAAACAAGCAUUUUUCUAGUUUCCAGACAAUAACUUGUGUUCAAGUGUAUGAAUCUCUCUGAAAUUGUACUGCAAGGUACCAUACCACAAAGGGAAAGCUGGGAUUGAGUUUGGGGGCGAUGAAUCAUAAGGGGGUUCAAAAAAUUGGGGGGGGGGAUUUUUUUUUUCCUUUUUUUUCUUUAACAUUUUCCAUUUUAAAUUGGUUAUUUCUGAUUUAUAUAUAAAAGCAAAUAAUAAUGAUAUGGUUUGAAUAGGCAUACAUGUGAACCUCCCGACGGGAGUACAAUAAUCCCGUUUUCAGGGGUCUCCUCCCCCCCUCCCGUUGAAAAAAUCCCGUGUAUGAAAUUUUUCAUGAAUGAAAAAUUUCUGCCCAACAUAACAUCUCAGGCAUCUGGUGUAACUGACAUUACCUGAAGUUAUAUUUUACCUGUAAAUCAAUUAACAUGCAUAAUUAUAUGGCUUCACUUGUCAGCUUGGGUGUCAAACAUACUGGUAAGCAACGAUUUUUACCUCAGGCUAACUGCCGUUGUGUAACAAAAACUGUGUAUUUAUUGGGUUACUUCCCUUGAUUUAUCCUGUUUUAAGUUACUUUCCUUUUAAUAAUGAAAAUUUUUAAAAGAAUAUAAAUAAAAUAUAAAUUGAACAAAUAAUCAUAAAAGGAUGGUUAUUAAAUGAUUUUAAAUGUCUUAGGACAAAUAAAAAAAUAAUAAUUUGAAAAUUAUUUGAGGAUUCUAUACUUCCUUUUAAGGCUUAAAUUGAAAUUUAUAUAAUAACUAUGACCCUAACUUUACAGAUAGAAUGAAUUUCUGAGUUUUCAAAUAAAAACUAUUUGCAAGAGAAAAAAAAAAAAAUAAAAACUAUUU
This is a long non-coding RNA of Mytilus californianus (California mussel), 1594 nucleotides long. RefSeq lists it as uncharacterized. Lineage: Eukaryota; Metazoa; Mollusca; Bivalvia; Mytilida; Mytilidae. The record is from RefSeq and is a predicted model, not a curated record. The transcript is spliced from 2 exons.